RNAcentral lists this non-coding RNA (28 nucleotides) under Homo sapiens (human). Lineage: Eukaryota; Metazoa; Chordata; Mammalia; Primates; Hominidae. The record is from RNAcentral.
CUUAGGGGUGCUACAAGUUGACCACUGC